GUAGGGAAUAUUGCACAAUGGAGGAAACUCUGAUGCAGCGACGCCGCGUGAGUGAUGAAGGCCUUCGGGUCGUAAAGCUCUGUCGCAGGGGAAUAACACAAUGAAGGUACCCUGUAAGAAAGGAUCGGCUAACUUCGUGCCAGCAGCCGCGGUAAGACGAGGGAUCCUAGCGUUGUUCGGAAUCAUUGGGCGUAAAGCGGAUGUAGGUGGCUAUGUAAGUCAGAUGUGAAAGCCUGGGGCUCAACCCCAGAAGUGCAUUUGAUACUGCGUAGCUUGAGUGUCGGAGAGGUUACUAGAAUUGCUGGUGUAGUGGUGAAAUACGUAGAUAUCAACAGGAAUACCGGAGGCGAAGGCGGGUAACUGGCCGAACACUGACACUGAGAUCCGAAAGCGUGGGGAUCAAACAGGAUUAGAAACCCGUGUAGUCC
Molecule: ribosomal RNA, 428 nt
Filed under: uncultured bacterium
Lineage: Bacteria
Description: bacterial SSU rRNA
Rfam family: Bacterial small subunit ribosomal RNA
Source: RNAcentral